UAUAAAUUUGGAAAAAGAAAUUAAUUGAUCGAACGAAGAAUUAAGCGGUAUAUAUACAUAUAUAUAUACAUAUAUAUAUAUAUAUAUUAAAGUUAAGAUAUAAGAAAAUUUUAGAAUCACCGAAUUCUAUAUGAUAUAGCGAACGAAGAUUUAUAUAUGUAUAUAUAUAUGUAUGUAUAUAUAUUUAUAUCUGUAUAUAUAUAUAUACAUAUAUGUAUGUACUUAUUUAGAUUAAAAUUCUGAUCAUGUUGAUCUAAAGCGGAUCAGUGCUAUAUUGAACGAUCAUUUGAUCGACGAAACAACUUUGACGACGAAGCAACUUUCCUAUUUAUCAUUUGCAAAUUGACAUGGGAAAUGAGUGAGAAUGAAGAUAAUUAUAU
This is a long non-coding RNA of Apis dorsata (giant honeybee), 380 nucleotides long. RefSeq lists it as uncharacterized. NCBI's taxonomy places the organism in Eukaryota, Metazoa, Arthropoda, Insecta, Hymenoptera, Apidae. The record is from RefSeq and is a predicted model, not a curated record. The transcript has 2 exons.